Tympanuchus pallidicinctus (lesser prairie-chicken) is the source of this 201-nucleotide long non-coding RNA. RefSeq lists it as uncharacterized. The record is from RefSeq and is a predicted model, not a curated record. The transcript has 3 exons. NCBI's taxonomy places the organism in Eukaryota, Metazoa, Chordata, Aves, Galliformes, Phasianidae.
UCAUCCUCCCCAUCCCCUCCCCAGCAGAGCUUCUGUGAUUCAGACAUGAGCAGGAUCACUGUGGCAGAGAGACUGGGAAAAGUGGGGAUCUUCUGGUGCCUACUGCAAAAUUCUCUGUUCUCUUGUCCCUAAAAGUAUGUCACCAUUAACACCUCAGACUUGUAGCUAGUUAUCUCCUUUCCAUGAUUCUGGUAAGCAAGU